ACCUCCGAGCCUCGUGUGUGUGAGAUGCGUCGUGUCGGACUGAGUAAUGCGUUCCUCCACGUGGGUCAGCUCUGCAGCCAAAACCUCGGCGACGCAGCCGCCACAUUCCUGCCUCGUCCACAGUGAAGCCAAAGCACUCUAAGCACACACAGAUCCUGGAAUCGGAGCUCGGGCCAAACCAGCGACGCUGCUGUCAGGUUUCUUCUGGCCUCACAGACUUCAGGCUGAAGCAGCCUAACACGGAUGAUAACGGGAGUCUUUGUUUUCAGGAGCUUCGCCCAUGACAUGCAGACGGAGUUAGAUGGUCUGAUGAAAAGUCUAAAAUACUUGUUGCACAAAAGGCUUUUUCCAGUUCCUUGGAAUGGAUGCAGACCCCCUUCCAGAGAGCUCAGUGUGGCUGGCCUGAUGCUGGGCACUCUGCUAUAGAUAGAUCCGGCGUAGGUAGGAGGAAUCUGGAGCUCUGCUGUCAGUACGGAGAGUAAAACGUUGGUUAGUGUUUGAGGACGACCACAUUCAGGCCUCCUGAAGGAACAGCUGAGCUGACACGGUUCAGCUUUAUGAUUUUAAUGAAGCCAUGAUUUUCACUCCUCCCGUGGCCUUUGGAUUCCUUUGGCGGUUAUGUCAGGGGUCAGAAGUACAUCUUACCAGCAGAUGAAGUGACACAAUGCUGGUGCAAAUCCUGCUGGCUCAAGUAUCACCAGCAUGGGGGGGGGGGAACGGCAGACACUGAGGAAGACGAGCACUGCUUUGGCCUCUGAAAACUGACUUUUCUGGACAAAGCAUGAGACGCCGGACACGGCGAAGAAUAAGGAAGCACAUUCCUGUCUUUUCACGCGUUGAACCUCCUCCAGUCGGCUGUGUGAAAGGACCAGAUGCCCCUCUCCGUGCUGGCAGAUGGAGGGAUUGUUUCCACAGUUUAAUGAAGGGAGGCUGCUGGAGGCUUAGCCCAGUUACCUUGGUCAUUGAUACGCUCUCGAGGCAUCCACUGGCAUUGUUUGGUGUCAAUAGAAGGGACGGGUCCUAAAGCUGGUUGGUGGGACUCCUGGCAGACUACUUUUUUUUUUUGUGAAGCUGAACAGUUGGAGGGUUUUGGGUUUUACGACCUCCGUGCUGAGAUGGGCAGGAUACAGAAGGGUGUGAUGGGACAGAGGUGUGAAGUGUCUGAUGGGGCAGGAAUGGAGUCUACAGGGAGCGAUGGCGUCUCUUUUCAAAGGCUAAUCAAAGAAAGCCGAUGGCUUCGGUCGUUCUGGAGGGAUUAUCACAUGUUUGAAGCUUUUGUUGUGCUUACAGUAACAGAAAAGGUCACAUGAUAACCCAACAAAGCAGCAGUUAAUCAUCUGGCUGAUGGAAGUGGUUGUUUCACAGAUGUCAGCAUCACUAAUGUGACUUUUCUGUCAUGCAUAAUGAUUUUGUUGCAUGCGAUGACUGUCUGGGUCACAUGGUUGGUAGCCUCAGACUGUAACCACGUGGCACAACGAGCUCUGCAGUUUGGGACUUUUUAUUAGACAAAGGGCAGCUGUGUUGACUCUGACCUUUGACCUCUGUGUUGGCUUUAUCUGAGUGAGUGCUGUGACAAGUAAGGCUUUUAUGGGAGGAGUUAUAAAACGAUAAAGCUGAGGGAGGAGGCUUUUUGUUUUCUUCUUAAAUGAGUCCGUCUUUGGUUCUGUGGGAAUGAAAAGUGGAGCCUUGAACAGAAAUCUUAUCCCAUAUUUCUUUCCACUGAAUCCAUUUGGUGGGUUGGUUUGGCUGCCAUCCAUAUCCGGCUGCUUAUCAGCUGUUGCACAUUAGGCCCAAACCAUACCAGGCUGUGAAUCACUGAUGGAGGACAAAAUGGGGAUCUGCUAACUGGCUGUAAAAUGGCUGGUUGUGAUUCUUCUGUCAGUAAACGAUCUUAAAAAAACUCUUGGGGCUUCCAGUCUUUGGCUUUCAGAGUUUUCCAGGCCGUUUGCAGGCGUUUGCGGCCUCCCUCCGAACCACAGCGAGCUCUGCUGUGGAGCACGUAGCCGGACUUUGUGUUGCUGAAGCUCAUUCAGGCUGUUUGUAAUGAACACAUUCAGCUUAAUGUGAAGGAACAAUGAUAAUCUGUCCACUCAGGCUGUUUGUGGCAGUGUUUCCAAGCAGAUAAAAGCAGCUUUAAAUUAAUUUUUAACUUGAGCUGAAGUGGAGAAAAGGAAAGUUUGUUUGAAGAGGAAAAAAUCACAAACAAAGGUAUCGCAGGACCUUUACAACUGUAAAUCCUUGAAACACACUGUGGCAGAGUAAUGCAGUUCAAAUGAAAAUAAUAAGAAAGGGAAAAGUUCAAAUACAUAAAACAAACCUUAAAAUGGCUACAAUUGAAGUACAAUUUUGGGAACCAAAAACUAGUAAGAAGAGUAAAUAUAGAUUCAAAUAUAACUAGACUGUGCUCUAAGUUACAGGUAUACAAAGUACUUCAGGUGUCUUUUUGUGAUAUAUGUACCCUCCCUAUGCAGGACAUAAACGGGGUCUUUCUUAUUACUCACACAGUGAAUGAGUGUGUGCCUGCUAACAGUGUAACAUGUGCUGUGGCCUGUGGCUGUGACUGAGUGAACCACUCAGUAAAAUGAGUGAGCGCGGAUUUUCAUGUCGAUUUGUUACGUAACCUCAGCUCGGGCGCUCCUGUCCUCUGUUCGCCGGUCCCUGCUGGUUUAGAAGAUGUUUAUACACACACACACACACACACACACACACACACACACACACACACACACACACACACACACACACACACACACACACUCUGUGUUCCCUACCGAGCUGUUUUCAGGCUGACGUUGGACAGUUUUUACAGAAACUGAGACUUCCGGUGCUCAUCCUUGGCUCUGAUGUUUGUUUUUCCUGGAUGUGGAACACCGUGGUUGUUUUUGUUGGCCUGUCGGCCUGAGCCCCGUCCCAGCUCCGGGAAAUUAUAGUAAAAGUGGAAUAAUGUCGCAGAUGUGACAGUAACAUCGGAGGCCUUACGUAACUCAAUCCUCGAGUGUUUGAUCUUUACUGUGCUCCCGAAUACGCCGGACCUGCUGGGACAGGCCUCAGUCAGCCUGAGAGGCGUACACUUCUUUUCUUUUAGCCCUCCGGGACGCAAGCGUCCAAGUUACACCACGCAGGGGUUAAAGGUCAGAGGAACCAGGAAGGGGAGCUUUUUCAACACCCCAGGACAUGGAAGGACAAAAUGUACUCUUACUUGUUUUGUUUGUGUGGAACUUGAAAAAUGCAAGAGAAGAAAGUGUUCCUGUUUUUAGAAAAAGGCCCACACCCACUCCACAGACUAAGGUUCGGGCCAUUAACGUUCCUUAAGUUUGACAGGAGUAAUAUCAGUGACUAAACACAUAAAACCUGACAAUAAAUCACUGAAAUCCCUCGAGUGAGGCAAGAAAACGUGUUUUUGUAGCAAGAAGCAGAGAAAUCAGGUUUUCGGGGCUUUUAAAACCAUCUGUAACCACAAAUCGAAGUAAAACGAGCCUCGGGGGAAUGAUGUCAAAUAUAACAAAAUGAAGGGCUGUGAGUCAUGCUGGUUUACCUGAUUGAAUCAGCCUGACUCAUACGGGUCCACACGGAGGCUUGAAUGAGCGUAAUUCCUCUAAUGUGACUCAGAGGACGUGUUUGAGCAGGACUGUGAAUGGUUGCGA
Molecule: long non-coding RNA, 3644 nt
Organism: Oreochromis niloticus (Nile tilapia)
Lineage: Eukaryota; Metazoa; Chordata; Actinopteri; Cichliformes; Cichlidae
Exons: 2
Source: RefSeq, a predicted model, not a curated record